Molecule: ribosomal RNA, 482 nt
Filed under: uncultured bacterium
Lineage: Bacteria
Description: partial 16S ribosomal RNA
Rfam family: Bacterial small subunit ribosomal RNA
Source: RNAcentral
GACGAACGCUGGCGGCGUGCUUAACACAUGCAAGUCGAACGCUGAAGCUCAGCUUGCUGGGUGGAUGAGUGGCGAACGGGUGAGUAACACGUGAGUAACCUGCCCUCUUCUUUGGGAUAACGCCCGGAAACGGGUGCUAAUACUGGAUAUUCACUGAUUCUCGCAUGGGGGUUGGUGGAAAGGUUUGUUCUGGUGGGGGAUGGGCUCGCGGCCUAUCAGCUUGUUGGUGGGGUGAUGGCCUACCAAGGCUUUGACGGGUAGCCGGCCUGAGAGGGUGACCGGUCACAUUGGGACUGAGAUACGGCCCAGACUCCUACGGGAGGCAGCAGUGGGGAAGAUUGCACAAUGGGCGAAAGCCGGAUGCAGCGACGCCGCGUGAGGGAUGGAGGCCUUCGGGUUGUAAACCUCUUUCGCUCAUGGUCAAGCCGCAGCUUGGGGUUGUGGUGAGGGUAGUGGGUAAAGAAGCGCCGGCUAACUACGUG